GGGGGGGGGGGGGGGGGGGGGGGGGGGGGGGGGGGGGGGGGGGGGGGGGAGAUCGGCGAUCUCGCAUCGUCGACGUGGCGCGGAGCCGGAGCGCGCUGAGGAGAACCGCGCACGUGGUGACUUGGGCGGGACCUGGAGUACUGCGCCGCCAUUUCUUGCCGCGCGGGACGUUCGAGCGGGAGUUCGAACCCGUGGAAACCCGCUGGUUUUUACGGGCGACCUUCGUGCUUUUGGGACACGGUCCUCUCGUCCAUGAGCCAUCACCAGGCACAGCCCCCGCUUCAUUCUGAAGCUGUUCCAAAUGAUCCUCUGCCAAUGCCUGAAAUGAAAGGCAAAGCUGAGAGCAGCAUGCAUGAAACAUCGAAGGGCAGAGGCUUCGUUUUCUUCUUUAAUUCAUGUCACUGGAUUCAUGAGUCAUAUUCGCCAUCAUUUUUUGCCUGUGCCAUUUUUAACCUCGCCGGAGGAGAAGGAAACUCUUUGUUCAGAAGCGUUAUCAGUAGCUUCAGACAGAGCAACAGGAGGAGCAGUCUUCCCAGCAUAUUCAGAAGACUCCAGAGUUUCAAGACAGCUGUUCAACACCCAUAUCCUGUCAUCCCCUAUGCACAACCAUGAUCUUUUCUACCCCCAUUAACCCCCCUCAAGUUUCCAGUUUUUUCUUUUACUUCUGUGAUUAGGAUUUGCGGCUGUAUCUAUCUUGUUCAUCCCAGGUCCUCCCCUAGCCCUUAUUCGUCCCCACAUCCCUUAUUUCUCCAAGUCUUCCUCCAUUUUGUCCCUCAACCAUGUUAUUGGUGUGUCACUGUCCAACGCCACUCUUUCUCCUGUUCUUUUAUGUCUGUUACUUUCUGAUCUAUUCUAUGUUCUAGCUCCUCCACAAGCCUCAAUAUUGUAUAAAAAUACAUUUUAAAAAAAGUCAACAGAAGAUUCUCAGAACUGCAAAGACCACAAUCUGUCAGCUGCCUUGUCAAAGCUCAAGUCCCCAAAAUAGAGGUGUCGGAUAUCAAGGUGUAAUCGGGUAUAUAUCUACCUCUGCUCCUGCUUUAUCCUCUGCUUAAGAAUUACCUUCAAUAUAAAUUUGUUACAACUGCCUCAACUGCUCAUUCCACUGCCAAGUUGAUGAAAAUCUCUGAAGAGCUCGCAUAUUGUAACUGCUGCUCAACCUUCAGAAUUCAGCAAUUAUGCUGCCAUGUUUUGUGAACUGUACUUGCUCAGUUAAUGAUAUGUAUAAAAUAAUCUGGGUGAUUUGGUCAAAGUGUAAAUUUUCAAUAAAGAGGAAGUCUUCAAUAACCAAUGUGUGGCAUGACUCCUGUUUCCCUAUAAUUUGGUUAAAUGGCCUGUUCACUCCAACGACUUGG
Molecule: long non-coding RNA, 1352 nt
Filed under: Eptatretus burgeri (inshore hagfish)
Lineage: Eukaryota; Metazoa; Chordata; Myxini; Myxiniformes; Myxinidae
Description: lncRNA (ENSEBUG00000017527.1)
Source: RNAcentral